This is a long non-coding RNA of Brachypodium distachyon (stiff brome), 418 nucleotides long. RefSeq lists it as uncharacterized. The record is from RefSeq and is a predicted model, not a curated record. Lineage: Eukaryota; Viridiplantae; Streptophyta; Magnoliopsida; Poales; Poaceae. The transcript has 3 exons.
CCCUUGUCACGCGCACUCCUAAGGAAAAUUGGAUGAUACACCCUGCCUGGAUUCAGCGUUUGAAGUGGGCUGGCCUUUUACCUUUCGUACGACUUGUGUAGGCAACUUGUGCGGAAAUGGUAGAGGGCGAGCGACGAGGCUUCAACUCUACACGGGUACAAAUUGACCACUCGCUGCUUAGCUGCUUAGUGGACAGAUGGAGGCCCGAGACACACACGUUUCACUUUUGCUGGGAAGAGAUGGCUCCUACUCUCCAGGAUGUGUCGAUGCUGCUGGGACUAUCAUUGGUGGGUCAUCCCAUAGGACCGUUGUAGGCACCAGCUGAUUGGCAGGAGGGUAUGGCACUACGCUUUCAAGGUAUUCUUGCCGAAGCUGGGCCACUCACCUCGGAGGCUCACGGACCUAAGCUAGAUUGGUU